This 433-nucleotide ribosomal RNA is filed under the name uncultured bacterium. Its description in RNAcentral is "bacterial SSU rRNA". It matches the Rfam family "Bacterial small subunit ribosomal RNA", at positions 355 to 786 of the family's 1533-position model. The record is from RNAcentral.
UGAGGAAUAUUGGUCAAUGGACGAGAGUCUGAACCAGCCAAGUAGCGUGAAGGAUGACUGCCCUAUGGGUUGUAAACUUCUUUUAUAUGGGAAUAAAAUGAGUUACGUGUAGCUUUUGUAUGUACCAUAUGAAUAAGGAUCGGCUAACUCCGUGCCAGCAGCCGCGGUAAUACGGAGGAUCCGAGCGUUAUCCGGAUUUAUUGGGUUUAAAGGGAGCGUAGAUGGGUUGUUAAGUCAGUUGUGAAAGUUUGCGGCUCAACCGUAAAAUUGCAAUUGAUACUGGCGUCCUUGAGUACAGUUGAGGUGGGCGGAAUUCGUGGUGUAGCGGUGAAAUGCUUAGAUAUCACGAAGAACUCCUAUUGCGAAGGCAGCUCACUAAACUGCAACUGACAUUGAGGCUCGAAAGUGUGGGUAUCAAACAGGAUUAGAUACC